CCUACGGGUGGCAGCAGUGAGGAAUAUUGGUCAAUGGGCGCGAGCCUGAACCAGCCAAGUAGCGUGAAGGAUGACUGCCCUACGGGUUGUAAACUUCUUUUAGAAAGGAAUAAAGUGAGGCACGUGUGCCUUGUUUUAUGUAUUUUAUGAGUAAAGAGCGGCUAACACCGUGCCAGCAGCCGCGGUAAUACGGAGGAGCAGAGCGUUAUCCGGAUUUAUUGGGUUUAAAGGGAGCGUAGAUGGGUUGUUAAGUCAGUUGUGAAAGUUUGCGGCUCAACCGUAAAAUUGCAAUUGAUACUGGCAGCCUUGAGUACAGUCGAGGUAGGCGGAAUUCGUGGUGUAGCGGUGAAAUGCUUAGAUAUCACGAAGAACUCCGAUUGCGAAGGCA
This 388-nucleotide ribosomal RNA is filed under the name uncultured bacterium. RNAcentral's name for it is "partial 16S ribosomal RNA". It matches the Rfam family "Bacterial small subunit ribosomal RNA", at positions 338 to 723 of the family's 1533-position model. The record is from RNAcentral.